AUUUGACGUUACCUACAGAAGAAGCACCGGCUAACUCCGUGCCAGCAGCCGCGGUAAUACGGAGGGUGCGAGCGUUAAUCGGAAUUACUGGGCGUAAAGCGCAUGCAGGUCGGCCUGUUAAGUCAGAUGUGAAAGCCCGGGGCUUAACCUCGGAAUUGCAUUUGAAACUGGCAGGCUAGAGUCUUGUAGAGGGGGUAGAAUUUCAGGUGUAGCGGUGAAAUGCGUAGAGAUCUGAAGGAAUACCAGUGGCGAACGGCGGCCCCCCUGGACAAAGACUGACGCUCAGAUGCGAAAGCGUGGGGAGCAAACAGGAUUAGAUACCCUGGUAG
RNAcentral lists this ribosomal RNA (329 nucleotides) under uncultured bacterium. Its description in RNAcentral is "bacterial SSU rRNA". It matches the Rfam family "Bacterial small subunit ribosomal RNA", at positions 467 to 793 of the family's 1533-position model. The record is from RNAcentral.